GAUGAACGCUGGCGGCGUGCCUAACACAUGCAAGUCGAACGGGCUUAUACUGAAACCUAGUGAUUUAUAAGCCAGUGGCGGACGGGUGAGUAACGCGUGGAUAACCUGCCGUAUACAGGGGGAUAACAUCUGGAAACAGGUGCUAAAACCGCAUAAGCGCACAGCUUCGCAUGAAGCAGUGUGAAAAACUCCGGUGGUAUACGAUGGAUCCGCGUCUGAUUAGCCAGUUGGCGGGGUAACGGCCCACCAAAGCGACGAUCAGUAGCCGGCCUGAGAGGGUGGACGGCCACAUUGGGACUGAGACACGGCCCAGACUCCUACGGGAGGCAGCAGUGGGGAAUAUUGCACAAUGGGGAAACCCUGAUGCAGCGACGCCGCGUGGGUGAAGAAGGCCUUAGGGUUGUAAAGUUCUUUCGCCGUCGAGGAUAAUGACUGUAGACGGAUAAGAAGCCCCGGCUAACUUCGUGCCAGCCGCCGCGGUAA
RNAcentral lists this ribosomal RNA (483 nucleotides) under uncultured bacterium. Its description in RNAcentral is "partial 16S ribosomal RNA". It matches the Rfam family "Bacterial small subunit ribosomal RNA", at positions 28 to 523 of the family's 1533-position model. The record is from RNAcentral.